Molecule: ribosomal RNA, 483 nt
Filed under: uncultured bacterium
Lineage: Bacteria
Description: partial 16S ribosomal RNA
Rfam family: Bacterial small subunit ribosomal RNA
Source: RNAcentral
ACUCAAAUGAAUUGACGGGGACCCGCACAAGCAGCGGAGCGUGUGGUUUAAUUCGAUGCAACGCGAAGAACCUUACCAGGAUUUGACAUGACCAGGACACCACCAGAGAUGGUGCUCCCUUCGGGGCUUGGUCACAGGUGCUGCAUGGCUGUCGUCAGCUCGUGCCGUGAGGUGUUGGGUUAAGUCCCGCAACGAGCGCAACCCUCAUUGCUAGUUGGACAUGUCUAGCGAGACUGCCGCGUCUAACGUGGAGGAAGGUGGGGAUGACGUCAAGUCAGCACGGCCCUUACAUCCUGGGCGACACACACGCUACAAUGGUCGGGACAACGAGAUGCGAACUCGCGAGAGGGAGCCAAUCUUCUCAAACCCGGUCACAGUUCAGAUUGCAGGCUGCAACUCGCCUGCAUGAAGCUGGAGUUGCUAGUAACCGUGAGUCAGCACAUCACGGUGAAUACGUUCCCGGGUCUUGUACACACCGCCCGU